This 484-nucleotide ribosomal RNA is filed under the name uncultured bacterium. RNAcentral's name for it is "partial 16S ribosomal RNA". It matches the Rfam family "Bacterial small subunit ribosomal RNA", at positions 30 to 507 of the family's 1533-position model. The record is from RNAcentral.
AUUGAACGCUGGCGGCAGGCCUAACACAUGCAAGUCGAGCGGAUGAAGGUAGCUUUCUCCUGUAUUCAGCGUCGGACGGGUGUGUAAUUCCUAUUUAUCUGCCUGUUAUUUUGUGAUAACGUCCGUUAACGGGCGCUAAUACCGCAUACGUCCUGUUGUUGAAAGUGGGGGUUCUUCGGACCUCACGCUAUCUUAUUUUCCUAGUUCGGAUUAGCUAGUUGGUGUGGUAAAGUCCUACCAAGGCUACGAUCCGUAACUGGUCUGAGAGGAUGAUCAGUCACACUGGAACUGAGACACGGUACAGACGACUACGGGAGGAAGCAGUGGGGAAUAUUGGACAAUGGGCGAAAGCAUGAUACAGCAAAGCCGCGUGUGUGGAGAAGGUCUUAGGAUUGUAAAGAACUUUAAGUUGGGAGGAAGGGAAGUAAGUUAAUACCUUGCUGUUUUGACGUUACCAAAAGAAUAAGCAACGGCUAACUUCGUG